GAUGAACGCUAGCUACAGGCUUAACACAUGCAAGUCGAGGGGCAGCACGGUGUAGCAAUACACGGGUGGCGACCGGCGCACGGGUGCGUAACGCGUAUCCAACUUUCCCGUUACUCUCGGAUAGCCUUCCGAAAGGGAGAUUAAUACGAGAUGGUGUUCAGUUUCCGCAUGUUUACUGAACUAAAGAUUCAUCGGUAACGGAUAGGGAUGCGUGACAUUAGAUAGUUGGCGGGGUAACGGCCCACCAAGUCAACGAUGUCUAGGGGUUCUGAGAGGAAGGUCCCCCACACUGGAACUGAGACACGGUCCAGACUCCUACGGGAGGCAGCAGUGAGGAAUAUUGGUCAAAUGGAGGCAACUCUGAACCAGCCAAGUAGCGUGCAGGACGACGGCCCUAUGGGUUGUAAACUGCUUUUAUGCGGGGAUAAAUGAUCCUACGUGUAGGAUUUUGCAGGUACCGCAUGAAUAAGGACCGGCUAAUUCCGUG
Molecule: ribosomal RNA, 487 nt
Filed under: uncultured bacterium
Lineage: Bacteria
Description: bacterial SSU rRNA
Rfam family: Bacterial small subunit ribosomal RNA
Source: RNAcentral